This 471-nucleotide ribosomal RNA is filed under the name uncultured bacterium. RNAcentral's name for it is "bacterial SSU rRNA". It matches the Rfam family "Bacterial small subunit ribosomal RNA", at positions 19 to 518 of the family's 1533-position model. The record is from RNAcentral.
AUGGCUCAGGAUGAACGCUAGCAGAACGCCUAACACAUGCAAGUCGAACGCCCCGAUUUAUCGGGGAGUGGCAGACGAGCGAGUAACACGUACUAACUGCCCUUGAGAUGGGAACAACUAUAGAGAUAUAGCUAAUUCCCAAUAUGCUCACGAUGGUGAAAUCCCAAUGUGAGGAAAGAUUUAUCGCUCAAGGAGAGGGGUGCGUCCUAUCAGGUAGUUGGUAAGGUAACGGCUUACCAAGCCUAUGACGGGUAGCCGGUUUGAGAUGAUGAUCGGCCGCGAUGGGACUGAGAUACGGCCCAUACUCCUACGGGAGGCAGCAGUGGGGAAUAUUGCACAAUGGGCGAAAGUCUGAUGCAGCCGAUUCUGCGUGGAGGAUGAAGCAUUGCGGUGUGUAAACUCCUUUUCUGGUAGAAGACGAAUGACGGUAUACCAGGAAUAAGGGACGGCUAACUAUGUGCCAGCAGCGGC